AGAGCGAACGCUGGCGGCAGGCCUAACACAUGCAAGUCGAGCGCCCGUAGCAAUACGGGAGCUGCAGACGGGAGAGUAACACGUGGGAACGCGCCCUUCGGUUCGGAAUAACUCAGGGAAACUUGAGCUAAUACCGGAUACGCCCUUACGGGGAAAGAUUUAUUGCCGAAGGAACGGCCCGCGUCCGAUUAGCUUGUUGGUGAGGUAACGGCUCACCAAGGCGACGAUCGGUAGCUGGUCUGAGAGGAUGACCAGCCUCACUGGGACUGAGACACGGCCCAGACUCCUACGGGAGGCAGCAGUGGGGAAUAUUGGACAAUGGGCGCAAGCCUGAUCCAGCCAUGCCGCGUGGAUGAUGAAGGCCUUAGGGUUGUAAAGUCCUUUUAACGGGGAAGAUAAUGACGGUACCCGUAGAAUAAGCCCGGCUAACUUCGCGCCAGCAGCCGC
RNAcentral lists this ribosomal RNA (447 nucleotides) under uncultured bacterium. RNAcentral's name for it is "SSU rRNA". It matches the Rfam family "Bacterial small subunit ribosomal RNA", at positions 26 to 518 of the family's 1533-position model. The record is from RNAcentral.